GUGGGGAAUCUUGCGCAAUGGGCGAAAGCCUGACGCAGCCAUGCCGCGUGAAUGAUGAAGGUCUUAGGAUUGUAAAAUUCUUUCACCGGGGACGAUAAUGACGGUACCCGGAGAAGAAGCUCCGGCUAACUUCGUGCCAGCAGCCGCGGUAAUACGAAGGGGGCUAGCGUUGCUCGGAAUUACUGGGCGUAAAGGGCGCGUAGGCGGACAGCUUAGUCAGAGGUGAAAGCCCAGGGCUCAACCUUGGAAUUGCCUUUGAUACUGGCUGUCUUGAGUUUGGGAGAGGUGAGUGGAACUCCGAGUGUAGAGGUGAAAUUCGUAGAUAUUCGGAAGAACACCAGUGGCGAAGGCGACUCACUGGCCCAAUACUGACGCUGAGGCGCGAAAGCGUGGGGAGCAAACAGGAUUAGAUACCCAGUAGUCC
RNAcentral lists this ribosomal RNA (424 nucleotides) under uncultured bacterium. RNAcentral's name for it is "partial 16S ribosomal RNA". It matches the Rfam family "Bacterial small subunit ribosomal RNA", at positions 354 to 796 of the family's 1533-position model. The record is from RNAcentral.